This is a long non-coding RNA of Humulus lupulus (European hop), 1373 nucleotides long. RefSeq lists it as uncharacterized. The transcript is spliced from 2 exons. Lineage: Eukaryota; Viridiplantae; Streptophyta; Magnoliopsida; Rosales; Cannabaceae. The record is from RefSeq and is a predicted model, not a curated record.
UUUUAACUAUGUCAACUACUAAAUGUGUGUGUAACUAAAUGAAACUGAUCAAGUACAAGAGGAAUUUCAGUUCAAGUAAUAAUAAGAUGCAACGAGAGAGCAAACAAGGAUUAUUUGUGGUGAAAUCCUCUAUUUUUAGUGUUAUUUUCAUUUAGGCCCCUAAUUUCUAAAUUUUGACAUCCAAAUCUCAAGCUUCCAAAUUGAGAUGCAUAUCCUAAUUUUGUUUUUUUUUCUUUUUCAAAAUGAAACCUGUACUGAUCACAUUUUUUAAGGGAUAUCUCAUGGAUGCACCCUAUUGUUUUGGUAAAAAGAUUUAAACAAAAAAAAAGAGUAGAUCAAAAUUGAGCUUUUAUACCCUUUAUUAUGAAUAAUAAUCAUACAUACCUUAAAUUCACAAAAUCAAUAUGAAAUUGUACUUUAGGCUUAAAUUUGGUCAACAAAUUUUUCAAUAUAAGCAAAUUGCUCCUUAAAAUUUAAAAUUUCUUGCCACGUGUCAAUUUAUAACGAUUUUUAUUUUAAAUUGAUUUAAAAAUAUUUAAAACAUAUUUUAAUAAAAAAAAAACAGUAAUUAACGUAAAUAUAAAUAAGUUAUUUUUUUUUAAAAAAAAAUCCUCUCCUCUCACUCCCCGGUUCUUCCCCCGCCUCGACUUUCACUCUUCCUCUUUCUUCAUAUGUGUUCUUCUUCCCCAAGACUCAACAACUCAUGAUUGGUGGCUUUAGAUCUGGACGAUGAAAAAGGCUUCAACGACGAUGACUUUAGAUCUGGAGGAUGGAGGCUUCGAUGGCAACACCUUCAAAUUUUGAAGACGAGGGCUUCAACACCGGUAUCUGAGCGGGAACGAAGGUGACAGGUGGUUGUCGAGGCAGAGGGACUGGGAUCUCCAACUAUGUGAGAAACUUGACAUACAGGAUUGGACUGACACGAGCAUCAAAUCCAGAUGCUCUUGCUCUGACGGUGGACGACAGUGGAAUAUGCUGAUGAUGGUAGAUUGAGAUGGGGACGACUUGGACUGAUUGCUUGAGGUUUUUCUGGGUUUAUGAAAACUUGAAUAAGAUUUUUAUGGGUUUUCUUGAAAUGAGUUUCUUUUGGGUUUAGAACAACUUGAAUGAAAGCAAGUCCUUUAACAAAAACGUGGGUUUGAUUUGUUUUUUUUUUCUUAUUAUUAAAUUUGUGUGUGUUUGAAAUAUGAAUUUAUUUUUGGUUGAAUUUGUUUUGCACACAUUUUAUUGAAAAAUUCAUGGUAGAUUGCGUUUUUUUUUUGUUCAAACAUGUGUUUAUAUGUUCAGAUUUGUGUAUAUAUUUUGAAAGAUUUGUUUUUUUUAAUGGAUUUAUGUUAUUAUCUCUAAUGAAUAAAUUUUAGUUGGAUUUUGUA